RNAcentral lists this ribosomal RNA (573 nucleotides) under Aspergillus niger. RNAcentral's name for it is "eukaryotic LSU rRNA". It matches the Rfam family "Eukaryotic large subunit ribosomal RNA", at positions 67 to 655 of the family's 3401-position model. The record is from RNAcentral. Lineage: Eukaryota; Fungi; Ascomycota; Eurotiomycetes; Eurotiales; Aspergillaceae.
AACGGGGAUUGCCUCAGUAACGGCGAGUGAAGCGGCAAGAGCUCAAAUUUGAAAGCUGGCUCCUUCGGAGUCCGAAUUGUAUUUUGCAGAGGAUGCUUUGGGUGCGGCCCCCGUUUAAGUGCCCUGGAACGGGCCGUCAGAGAGGGUGAGAAUCCCGUCUUGGGCGGGGUGUCCGUGCCCGUGUAAAGCUCCUUCGACGAGUCGAGUUGUUUGGGAAUGCAGCUCUAAAUGGGUGGUAAAUUUCAUCUAAAGCUAAAUACUGGCCGGAGACCGAUAGCGCACAAGUAGAGUGAUCGAAAGAUGAAAAGCACUUUGAAAAGAGAGUUAAACAGCACGUGAAAUUGUUGAAAGGGAAGCGCUUGCGACCAGACUCGCCCGCGGGGUUCAGCCGGCAUUCGUGCCGGUGUACUUCCCCGUGGGCGGGCCAGCGUCGGUUUGGGCGGCCGGUCAAAGGCCCCUGGAAUGUAGUACCCUCCGGGGUACCUUAUAGCCAGGGGUGCAAUGCGGCCAGCCUGGACCGAGGAACGCGCUUCGGCACGGACGCUGGCAUAAUGGUCGUAAACGACCCGUCUU